UGAACAGGUGGGAGUACGGUAUG
RNAcentral lists this non-coding RNA (23 nucleotides) under Cricetulus griseus (Chinese hamster). Lineage: Eukaryota; Metazoa; Chordata; Mammalia; Rodentia; Cricetidae. The record is from RNAcentral.